Molecule: ribosomal RNA, 343 nt
Filed under: Gammarus cf. aequicauda 51_Korfu_G.aeq_B
Lineage: Eukaryota; Metazoa; Arthropoda; Malacostraca; Amphipoda; Gammaridae
Description: partial 16S ribosomal RNA
Rfam family: Bacterial large subunit ribosomal RNA (bases 38-343)
Source: RNAcentral
CAACUUGAUCGGUUUGUGGUCUUUUUUAGGAAACUUAAGUCAAGGUAAUAAUUCUUUGAUCUUCUAGGGGACGAUAAGACCCUAGAAGCUUUAUAUAUUGAUUAUCUUUUAAUGGUGGAAACUAUCAUAUUUGACUGGGGCGGUAUGAGUAUUUAAACUAUUUUAAGUUUAAUUUGAUCCUUUAGAUAAAGAAAGAUUGGUUAAGUUACUCUAGGGAUAACAGUGCUAUAAUUUUGGAGAGACCUUAUCGAUAAAAUUGUUUGCAACCUCGAUGUUGAAUUAGAAUGUCUAAAUGAAGCAUAAAGUAUGAAAGAGGGUUUGUUCAACCUUUAAAAUUCUACAU